AGGAGGGGGCAGUCCCACAGCAGGCUCACACCCUGCCCUUCAGAGUUGCAGCAGCCAAUGCUGAUGCCAGGACCUUGUCCUGCCAGGAAGCCUCUGAUUAGGGCCCUGAACCAACUUCCUUUUCACAACUGCAAGGACACUUGGAGGCAACCACCCAAGGCCGCUCUGAGAAGGGUUGAAUGUUCUUUAUUAAAAGGACUGAGGAUCAUGUGUGUUGGUGGGUCUUGGACUCUGCUCUAAGGUAAAUGUGUGUAUGUUGGGGGAGGGGGGGUGCCUGUAAUCCUGUGGGUGUGAUCUCUUUAUUAGAGGAUUUUUGUUCAUUAAAGUAGGAGUGUGAGUUUGUUUGUUUGCUUGUUUGUUUUUAAAGUAGUACUGGGUGCCAGGUCAUACAAUAUUUGGAACAUACUUGAACUAAAAACUUGUUAUAUAUAUGAACUUCCAAAUUCCCUGGGUAUUGUAUAUUUUAUAAUCAGCCCUACCUUCAGAAAGUGGUGAGAUCCACAGUGCACCUGGAUUCACAGAUAGAAAUAUAGGGGACAAAACAAGUACAGUAAUAUAAUUGUGAAAAUUCAGUGGGACAUGCACAGAUUACCACCACCUCUGUAAGAAGUAUAUAGAGACACAUGUUUGAAAUAUACAUAAUGAGAUGUAGAACACUGUCUCUCUCGGUUGUCGUGUUGUCCUAACUCAAAUUUUUCAGUUUCUGCUGUCAUCACAGCUGGGAAUGAGAAAGGGAAGAGGCUCUGGUUGGUCUCCCUCUGCCUCUGGAGCACAUGUGGAGGACAUGAGGCUUCCGCAGGAACAGCUCUGAAAGCUGAGUUCUCAGGGUCCUUGUGAAGGAGGGAAGCUUGCCUGCCUUGGAGCGUGAAAAAGUCUUGCUGGACUGAAGUCUCACGGUUUAAAAAUGGGAAGGGAGAGGACUGAGAUCACACUAGAAUGCACAGAAAAUUCUUAAAACAAAAAAUAAUGAGAGAAACUUCAUCAGAAUGUGAAAAGAACUAUAAAGCUACAGUGCUGAAGAGAGGGCAAUACUGGCAGUAGAAUAAGAAGAUUCAUGGAACACAGUGGAAAAUGCAGAAAGAGAGCCACAUACACAUGGAGGCAACCACUCAAGGCCACUCUGAGGAGGGUUGAACGUGCUUUAUUAAAAGGACUGAGGAUCAUGUGUGUUGGUGUGUCCUGGACUCUGCUUUAAGACACAUGGAGGCAACCACUCAAGGCCACUCUGAGGAGGGUUGAACGUGCUUUAUUAAAAGGACUGAGGAUCGUGUGUGUUGAUGUGUCCUGGACUCUGCUUUAAGACAUAUGGAGGCAACCACUCAAGGCCACUCUGAGGAGGGUUGAACGUGCUUUAUUAAAAGGACUGAGGAUCAUGUGUGUUGAUGUGUCCUGGACUCUGCUUUAAGACACAUGGAGGCAAUCACUCAAGGCCACUCUGAGAAGGGUUGAACGUGCUUUAUUAAAAGGACUGAGGAUCAUGUGUGUUGGUGUGUCCUGGACUCUGCUCUAAGGCCCUGUGGCCGCCUGGUGCCCUGGGAAUGGUCCGGUCAUGGGCCUCAGCCCAAGAUGAGCAGCCAACAAUGCAAUCCCACGAAGAGUGUGCGCAAGGGAGAGGUUACUUCUCAAGAUGGAGCUGCCAAAUAGGGACACUUUGGAGAGUUUGACCUGAGAACUUUUAGCUCCAAGAAUGUAUUGCUUUGGAAAAGACAGAAUAAAAGUCCAAGCACUGCCACUUAGAGGUUGUAUGUCCUUGGGAAAGUCACUGUACGUGGCAAUUAUAACCUUUACCCUGGAUACACCAUUCAUCUCCUGGGGCCGGGGAUUGUGCCAACUUGUUCAUUUCUAAACUAAAUGAUAUCUAAGCUAGUCUUUACCACAAUUUAAUUCUUAUAAUAAUACUCCAAAGGAGAGAUAAUCAACCACAUUUCACAGAUGAGAGAGUUGGAAUCUUAAAAAGGUUAAACUCUUCAAGGUCAUUUGACGAGUAAAUAAUGGAGCCUGGAUUUCAACUGAAGUCUAACAAAUUCCAAAAUCUUGGC
Long non-coding RNA from Pongo pygmaeus (Bornean orangutan), 2039 nucleotides. RefSeq lists it as uncharacterized. The transcript is spliced from 6 exons. Lineage: Eukaryota; Metazoa; Chordata; Mammalia; Primates; Hominidae. The record is from RefSeq and is a predicted model, not a curated record.